GGGAGCGCCCGCCGGCCGGGCAGGGCACCCCGGACCCCCCGGUGCCCCAGACCUGGACACCCCAGCCCGGCCCUGCGCCCUGCUGACCCCGGGCGCCCUCGCGCCUUCUUUCGCGCCCCGCCCGGGGACCCUGAGAGCGCAGGGCGAUCUGCGAGCGCACACGGCCCAGCGGGUGGAGGGGAGCAAAUGAGGAGGGUUCAGGGGGCAUCGGAGGGUGGGCUGGGCCCCCGGGACCCGCCGGCGGCAGCGCCAACUCCGCUCGCACCUGCGGCUCAAACUUUUGUGAGGCUGCUCCGGGAGCGGCGGGAACCCGGCCGGAGACGUCCCCCCUCCAGCCCAGAUCGGCCCUCCGCUUCCCGGGGGCCCGGUGGGCGCUACGAGGCUCUGUGGGAGCUGGGCGAGAGCGUGAGGGGGGCGGCCGCGGUGGAGAGCGCGCGGGCAGCUUGGCGCGGGGGCGGCCGGGCUCCGGGGUCACCAGGGGCAAAGGACGGGGGAGGGGGAAGGGCGCGGGGCCCGGGCUGGUCCGAAGGUAGGUGUGUGGUUACAGAAGGGCUGCGCGAGUACUUCGGCCAGUUCGGGGAGGUGAAGGAGUGUCUGGUGAUGCGGGACCCCCUCACCAAAAGAUCCAGGGGUUUCGGCUUCGUCACUUUCAUGGACCAGGCGGGGGUGGAUAAAGUGCUGGCGCAAUCGCGGCACGAGCUCGACUCCAAAACAAUUGACCCCAAGGUGGCCUUUCCUCGGCGAGCACAGCCUAAGAUGGUGACUCGAACGAAGAAGAUCUUUGUGGGGGGGCUGUCAGUGAACACCACGGUGGAGGACGUGAAGCAAUAUUUUGAGCAGUUUGGAAAGGUGGAUGAUGCCAUGCUGAUGUUUGACAAAACCACCAACCGGCACCGAGGGUUUGGAUUUGUCACAUUUGAAAGUGAGGACAUCGUGGAGAAAGUGUGUGAAAUCCACUUUCAUGAAAUCAACAACAAAAUGGUGGAAUGUAAGAAAGCGCAGCCAAAGGAGGUGAUGUCACCCACAGGCUCAGCCCGAGGGAGGUCUCGAGUCAUGCCCUACGGAAUGGACGCCUUCAUGCUGGGUAUCGGCAUGCUGGGCUACCCGGGUUUCCAAGCCACGACCUAUGCCAGCCGAAGUUAUACAGGCCUCGCACCUGGCUAUACCUACCAGUUCCCAGAAUUCCGUGUAGAGCGGACCCCUCUCCCGAGCGCCCCAGUCCUCCCCGAGCUUACAGCAAUUCCUCUCACUGCUUAUGGACCGAUGGCGGCGGCAGCAGCAGCAGCAGCUGUGGUUCGAGGGACAGGCUCUCACCCCUGGACGAUGGCUCCCCCUCCAGGUUCGACUCCCAGCCGCACAGGGGGCUUCCUGGGAACCACCAGCCCUGGCCCCAUGGCCGAGCUCUAUGGGGCGGCCAACCAGGACUCAGGGGUCAGCAGUUACAUCAGCGCCGCCAGCCCUGCCCCCAGCACUGGCUUUGGCCACAGUCUUGGGGGACCCUUGAUUGCCACAGCCUUCACCAAUGGGUACCACUGAAGCAGGGGACAGUGGCAGGAGAGUCUCACUAUGUCACCCUCAAUAGAGUGCCAUGGCGUCGUGACAGCUCACAGCACAACCUCCAACUCUUGGGCUUGAGUGAUUCUCUUGCCCCAGCCUCCCAAUGCCCCAGCCUGCAGCUGACUGAGGACCACGAGUGAGCCAGCGAGGGGGCAGGACACCUCAGCCGCAGCCGCCGCCCCCUCCCCUGCAGCGACUCGGACGCUACUGCCUGCCCCCACCUGUGAUGUCUGGCUCCCCUACUAACCUCCCCCCUCUUUUGCCCACCUGUGCUCCGUCCCCCUUGCCCCUGUCCCACCCGCUUUUAUUUAUUUUGGAUUAGCCGGUUGCCCCCCAUCCCUACCCUUAACUCCUCCCCUUGGGCCUGUGCCCCCUCCUUGCCGCCCCCAUAGGACCGUUUUGUAUUUGUGCAUAGUUAGAGAGAGGGCGGAGGGAGCCUGCUAUAGGCCACAAUCCCAACUCCUGUUUUUUUAUUCUGAUUUUCCCUUCUUUUAUUCUUUCCCUUUUUUUUUUUUUUUUUUUAAAGCAAUCCGUUUUUAAACUAUUUCUAGGUUUGUGAAUGUGAAGCCCCAGGCCGCCGGGGGCAAGGGGCCAGGUGCCCCCCCCCCACCAGCUGAGAACAAAGUGUCUAUGUGGGUGUGGGCCCCUGGCCGCCUCCCUCCAGCCCUGGACAGGAGGGCAGGGCUGCGGGUAGGCCAGGCCGAGCCCCUGGAACCAUCCCGUCCUGUAUCAUAUGUAAAUACUGUGAGGUGAAGCCCCCACCCCUCUCUGAGACCCCUCUGGAGUGAGGGUCUCCCCCCAUCCCCUGUUUCUGUCCCCUCAGACGCCGUUACUGUAAGCUUGCAGGCCUCAGCUGUGGCAGUGGCAGGCCAGCUCUCUCAGGCCCUCAGGGGGCCUGCUCACCCCGAAAACCCAGUGAAAGGGGUAAGGGGCACAGGAAGAGAAGGGCUUGCCCGAGCCAUUGCUGGAAAGGAAUUAACUCUCCAAAGGUCUCCCCUGCCCCUUACCUAGGCUGGGCCUCCAGGGUUUUUGCUGAGUCAGCCCUGACAUGAGUGGGCGUCCAGGGGCAAUUUGGUAAAGCAAAGGGCUUCUCAGGGAACCCCCACAUUCUCUUACUGAAGUUUCCCACCAGGAUGGUCUCAUGGCCAGAACCCCUUAGCAGCCCCUCACCCCAAAGCCCCCUUCAAAAGAAAAAUAAAGAGGCUCAGAGUAUAAAUCUUCAUGGAUAGUAACCUGGCUGGCUUGGCAGGGCUGAGGCCCUCCUUGUCAUCCCAUUUCUCUGCCGCCCUCUUCACCAGGUCUGAGGCUAAGGGCCUAAGCUCCCUUCCUCAUGAUAGCCCCCACCCAUUAAACCCCCACUUUGGAGAGUUAAUUGUCUGUGUGAGGUGCUUUACCGAUUAGCCCUGAGAACACAAAGCAAUAAUCUUUGUAACUGAGAUGCGCGGCUGUUUGUCUUUUUGGUUUUUUUUUUUAAUGUUUCCUAAUAAAAAAGAAGCUGCAUUUUAUUGGUUUUUAUUUUUAAUUUUCUACACAUUUGAGCUGAGUUCUGAGAGACUUAGCUUCCCUCUUCUCCUAGUUCCUUAAGCCUCCAUACCCUGCUGGGCCCAUCCUUGGGCUCAGGUCCCUAGAAUUCCGUUUUCUGAUUGGUUUGGGGAAUUUUUUUUUUUUAAGAUGUUACAUGGUGUUUCGAAGCCAGCAAGUUACCACCCUCCCGUGUCUCUUCUCUCCACAUCUGUAACUUCUUUUUCCAGGUUUUAUUUUCAGUUUUAAAUUCCUAAUAAAUUAUUUGAAAACGGU
RNA transcript from Nycticebus coucang (slow loris), 3354 nucleotides. It is a transcript of the gene named musashi RNA binding protein 1, with no coding region annotated. The record is from RefSeq and is a predicted model, not a curated record. The transcript is spliced from 14 exons. Lineage: Eukaryota; Metazoa; Chordata; Mammalia; Primates; Lorisidae.